CCUACGGGAGACAGCAGUGGGGAAUAUUGCACAAUGGGGGGAACCCUGAUGCAGCGACGCCGCGUGAGUUCCUCACUAUUUCGUUAUUUCCCGCUCUCUCAGCAGUGAAGAAAAUGACGGUACCUGACUAAGAAGCCCCGGCUAACUACGUGCCAGCAGCCGCGGUAAUACGUAGGGGGCACGCGUUAUCCGGAUUUACUGGGUGUAAAGGGAGCGUAGACGGUUAUGCAAGUCUGAAGUGAAAGCCCAAGGCUCAACCAUGGGACUGCUUUGGAAACUGUAAAACUGGAGUGCAGGAGAGGUAAGCGGAAUUCCUAGUGUAGCGGUGAAAUGCGUAGAUAUUAGGAGGAACACCAGUGGCGAAGGCGGCUUACUGGACUGUAACUGACGUUGAGGCUCGAAAGCGCGGGUAUCGAACAGGAUUAGAUACCCGUGUAGUC
This 440-nucleotide ribosomal RNA is filed under the name uncultured bacterium. Its description in RNAcentral is "partial 16S ribosomal RNA". It matches the Rfam family "Bacterial small subunit ribosomal RNA", at positions 338 to 795 of the family's 1533-position model. The record is from RNAcentral.